RNAcentral lists this ribosomal RNA (468 nucleotides) under uncultured bacterium. Its description in RNAcentral is "partial 16S ribosomal RNA". It matches the Rfam family "Bacterial small subunit ribosomal RNA", at positions 28 to 507 of the family's 1533-position model. The record is from RNAcentral.
GACGAACGCUGGCGGCGUGCUUAACACAUGCAAGUCGAACGGAAAGGCCCUGCUUUUGUGGGUUUCUCGAGUGGCGAACGGGUGAGUAACACGUGAGUAACCUGCCCUUGACUUUGGGAUAACUUCAGGAAACUGGGGCUAAUACCGGAUAGGAGCUCCUGCUGCAUGGUGGGGGUUGGAAAGUUUCGGCGGUGGGGGAUGGACUCGCGGCUUAUCAGCUUGUUGGUGGGGUAGUGGCUUACCAAGGCUUUGACGGGUAGGCGGCAUGAGAGGGUGAACGGCCACCUUGGGACUGAGAUACGGACCAGAAUCCUACGGGAGGCAGCAGUGGGGAAUAUUGCACAAUGGGCGGAAGCCUGAUGCAGAAACGCUGCGUGCGGGAUGACGGCUUUCGGGUUGUAAACCGCUUUCGAAUGUGACGAAGCGUGAGUGACGGUAAUGGGUAAAGAAGCACCGGCUAACUACGUG